CAUGCUGUCGCGCGCGUCCAACCAUGAGGACGAGCGGCAGACCGCUCAGUAACACGUAGCUAACCUACCCUUGGGACGGGAACACCCCCGGGAAACUGGGGUCAAUUCCCGAUAGGCGUGAAGGCCUGGAAUGGUUUUACGCUUAAAGGCUCGGCAGUCACGUUUGUUGAGCGCCCGAGGAUGGGGCUGCGGCCGAUCAGGCUGUUGGCGAGGUAACGGCUCACCAAACCUUUGACCGGUACGGGCCAUGAAAGUGGUAGCCCGGAGAUGGGCACUGAGACAGGGGCCCAGGCCCUACGGGGCGCAGCAGGCGCGAAAACUCCACAAUGUACGGAAGUACGAUGGGGUUACCUCGAGUGCAGUCCGAUAAGGGUUGCUUUUCCAUAGAGUAAUAUCCUGNGGGAAUAAGCGGGGGGGCA
RNAcentral lists this ribosomal RNA (419 nucleotides) under uncultured crenarchaeote. RNAcentral describes it as "bacterial SSU rRNA". It matches the Rfam family "Archaeal small subunit ribosomal RNA", at positions 50 to 449 of the family's 1478-position model. Lineage: Archaea; Thermoproteati; Thermoproteota. The record is from RNAcentral.